Non-coding RNA from Schistosoma curassoni, 45 nucleotides. The record is from Rfam. NCBI's taxonomy places the organism in Eukaryota, Metazoa, Platyhelminthes, Trematoda, Strigeidida, Schistosomatidae.
AUCCAGCUGACGAGUCCCAAACAGGACGAAACGUGCGACCUGGAU